AUUGAACGCUGGCGGCAUGCUUUACACAUGCAAGUCGAACGGCAGCGGGGAGGAGCUUGCUUCUCUGCCGGCGAGUGGCGCACGGGUGAGUAAUACAUCGGAACGUGUCGAGAAGAGGGGGAUAACCACCCGAAAGGGUGGCUAAUACCGCAUAAAUUCUGAGGAAGAAAGCUGGGGAUCUAGGAAUAGGCCUAGCGCUUUUUGAGCGGCCGAUGUCGGAUUAGCUAGUUGGUGAGGUAAAGGCUCACCAAGGCGAAGAUCUGUAGCGGGUCUGAGAGGAUGAUCCGCCACACUGGGACUGAGACACGGCCCAGACUCCUACGGGAGGCAGCAGUGGGGAAUUUUGGACAAUGGGGGCAACCCUGAUCCAGCCAUGCCGCGUGUAUGAAGAAGGCCUUAGGGUUGUAAAGUACUUUUGUUAGGGAAGAAAAGUCAGCUGUGAAUAAUGGCUGAUACUGACGGUACCUAAAGAAUAAGCACCGGCUAACUACGUG
This 494-nucleotide ribosomal RNA is filed under the name uncultured bacterium. RNAcentral's name for it is "partial 16S ribosomal RNA". It matches the Rfam family "Bacterial small subunit ribosomal RNA", at positions 30 to 507 of the family's 1533-position model. The record is from RNAcentral.